AUGGUUUCAAGGUGUAAGGCGAGGAAGAGAUACAUGAAGCAGUUUGUGAAGGCGAGGCAAGCCCUGUCUGCAGCCCACAGUAUGUAUAUCAGAUCCCUGCGUGGCACUGGCUCUGCUCUCCUUCAGUUUGCCACCGCCGAGACCAAUCUCUACCACCACCAUCUCACACCGAUUCUACCCUCUCCACCGCCGCCCAUGAGUCCCAGCUCCGAUACGUGGACAUCAUCACAGCCUCGCCCUCUCAUCUGCCGCCUCCGCCUCCUCCUCCUCCACCACCACAGCAGCCCUCUGAAUUUUUUUUUUUAAGGGGGGCACGUGGACAAAAUGAGGGAGGGGCACGUGGACACAAUUGAGGGGGUCCUUACAACGGCUAGAAAAAUACAACGGUCGAAUUCGAAUCUCUUUUUCAAUCUCUCCCUCUCUCUCUCUGUCUCAUUCUCUCCCUCUAUCUAUCUCUCUCCCUCUCCCUCUCCCUCUCCCUCUCUGAAACCCCCUCGCAACUCUCCCUCCCUCUCUCCCUCUCUCUCUCUCUCUGAAACCCCCGAAGAUGCAAGACAUGUGGAAUGUUCCCCCUGGUUUCAGGCCCAGCACAUCUGCGCCUUCGUCUCCCGCAAAGCCUAUUCGGGUGUCAAGAACUCGAUCAGAGUCCUUUCAUGUCACCCACAAAGUCCCUGUUGGCGACACUCCUUAUGUGAGAGCCAAAAAGGUUCAGGUAAGCUUCCGUUCUGGGUAAUCUUGAAAUUUGCCAACAAACCGAGGUUUCUUCUUUUGCGUGAUUGAUCUCUGUUUGAUGGGUUUGAUUAUGACUUUUGUUGCAUCAGUUGGUUGACAAGGACCCGGAAAAGGCAAUCCCGCUAUUUUGGGCCGCCAUUAAUGCUGGAGAUCGAGUGGAUAGUGCGCUCAAGGACAUGGCCAUUGUGAUGAAGCAACAGAACAGGGCUGAAGAAGCCAUUGAGGCUAUUAAAUCGUUGCGAAGUCGUUGUUCAGAUCAAGCCCAAGACUCUCUUGAUAAUAUCCUUCUGGAUCUGUACAAGGUCCUGUCCUUUCGAAAUUCCUUAUCACUUGUUUGUAUCUGGCUAUUUAAGAUUAUUGAGUACUGAUUUUUGUCUUUUGGAAAUUCGAUUCGACAGAGAUGCGGGAGAUUGGAUGAUCAAAUUGCACUUUUGAGGCACAAAUUGUUCUUGAUUCAACAAGGGAUGGCUUUCAAUGGGAAGCGCACCAAGACUGCCAGAUCCCAAGGGAAAAAAUUUCAGGUGUCCGUGGGACAAGAAGCGACUCGGUUACUGGUAAGCACACGGUUUUUCUGCUAGUUUCAGUCCUCUAUCUCUCCCUAAACUCCAUAUUGAGACGAAUUUCCAUUUCAGGGGAACUUAGGAUGGGCAUUGAUGCAGCGGAACAACUAUAUCGAAGCAGAAGAUGCCUACAGGCGGGCACUUUCAAUGACUCCAGAUAAUAACAAGAUGUGCAAUCUGGGUAUCUGCUUGAUGAAGCAAGGGAGGAUUCUGGAAGCCAAAGAAACCCUUAGAAGAGUGAAACCGGCUGUUGCAGAUGGACUGAGAGGUGUAGAUUCCCACCUCAAAGCAUUUGAGAGGGCACGGCAGAUGCUGCUUGAUCUUGAGUCUGAAAUGUUGAAUAAGGGAAGCGACCCUGUCGAACAGAGUCGGCUCUUUGAUGCCUUCCUCAGUUCUUCCUCGCUUUGGCAGCCUCAGCCUUGUAAGGACCAGCACACAACGAAUACAAUCAAAUCUCAAGAUGAUUUUGGGGAUGAGAACUUCGACACCAACAGAGUCAUGAAGGUUCUUCCUGGACAGAAGAUUGCCAAACCAACGGCUGUUCAUGCGAACUCACUCAACGUCGCGGCAUUGCCAUUCUACUCAUCAAAGAUGACCAAGGACCCAAUUGGAAAACCACUGCAGGAGUCCCUUAAGAGAACAAGAUCAGGGCUUGCUGCUAAUUCGAUAGGAGUGAAUGAAACAGGGGCGUUCAGAAAGCCCUUAAUGGAAUCCAUGGAACCAGAAAAUAAGACUAGAAGGCAAUCUCUUUCACCCGAAGAAAAUGGGGACAAGUGGGCAGACUUGCUGCCAGACAGCAAGGAGUUUGAAGCGGCUCUUAUUGCUGCAGUUUUGGGUUCAGCCACUGAAACAGGGAAGAAGACUGUGGAGACUGGAAACAGUUCUGGAAUUUUACAGAAUAAGAUUGAGAGUAGGCUUAAAGUCUUUCAAGACAUAACACUCUCAAUGAGCCCAAGAGCCUAACCUCUCAAUUAGUGUCAACUAAUUCAAUUUAGUUUUUACAAGCUAUAAUAAUAUAGGUUUUAGGUUGGAGAUGAUCUUGUUCUCCUGGGCUCCUGUUCAAGCAGAAGGGGGGGGGGGGGGGGAGAGAGGAGUACGCAGCUAUGCAGAGAGUAUGGUAGCAGUCCCUGCUGGGGUAGUAGCAGCAGUAGUUAUAGUAGAUGCAAUUCAUUAAUUCUUGUCCACCUCUCAAAAUAAAGGGGGGCACACAUCUGUAAUAAAACAUAUGAUGAUGUUCAUUAGCUACAUUUUGACUCAAGAAAAUGAGGAUCUUGCCUUGUUCUAUAUUGUAUGGCAUUCCUAUUGUGUAUGGCAUUUAAUUUUGAUCAUAUGAGGAGCUCCUAAUUGUUUAGGAACAUAGUUUUCUUCAAUGAAUCUUUGUGGGAUCUUCUUAUUAUACAUGGUUUCUUCUUAUACAUGAUCGAUCCUGUUUUACUCCUCUUUCCUUUGACUUCUUUGUCUAUAGUAGAAAGUAAUGGCUAUAGCAGUUGUCGCAAAAGCAACUCCUGCAGCAGUUUUUGCCAUGGUUGAACUGUUCUUCACAGCUGUGAUUACCCUGGAAGUCCAUGUAGGUGGAACAAACCCUAGCUCCGAAAGCUUCUUGUGGGAUGCCGCAUAAUCUCUGAAGAAAGCCUCCUCAUCCUGCCAUGUACCAGAAAUAUGAUAAGAAAAACAGUAAAGGGUUACAAGAGACUGCAUGAGACUAUGUGAACAUCCACGAAGGUUCCAGCAAAAUACUACAUUACCUGUUCAUACAACAUAACAUAUUCUAGGAAUUUAGGAUCCUUUAUUAAUGCUUGGUCUGUGGAAAAUAUAAACAAUCGCCUCCCUGUUGAAUCCUCGCCCGCAGCUGAAGAAGAAGGUUUCUGCUGUGAAUACCCUGUUGGAGGGUUACUAGGUGUAGGAAACUUGGUUGAUGAUUUCAAAAGCUCCCUGAUUACAAUAUUAAUCAUAACAUAUAGCCAUCAUAUAUAAUUGAAACAUUGCUGCAUUUAUAUGCGUUCCAAUCAAUGAAUUCUCAAAUGAAACCUUACUUGAAAUACGAAUUGUCGAACUUCCAGGGCUCCUCUGUCCACUUGCCAUCAAAGCCUGAAACUUGCUUAUGUGCCCCUCCCUACAACACCAAACCAAACAAAAACUACAUGCAUAUUUGUGGAUGCUGAAAGAACUUUUUAAAGAUAGCUGCAGAUCUGUGGAGGAAGUUACCAAUGUAUGACCUCCGGAGAGGGCCACAAUAUCCUUGUCCUCAAGACCCAUCCGGUUAAAGACCGACCUUAAAUGGUCAGCACCUGCAACAAAAUUUAAUAAGAGUAAUGUAAAUUUUCUGCUUGGUCUUAUAUGGGAAGUAUAAGAGAGCUCUGAUUUCUGAUGCAUAACAACCAAGAAACAAUUUGUAGAAGGAGCACAGCUGAAAAGCUAGAGAGGGGACCAAGGGGUGAAAUGACAGAAUUCGACAAACGAUAAGGUUCAAGUCUCUAUGCAUUAUCUGUGAGUUAUAGAGCAGAAUAGGAAAAUGACUUCUUUUCCAUAAACAAGGCCAGAGAGCAUAAAGAAAACAGAAUGGGAACCUUUGUUAGCAUCUGGGAGGAGCCCUUCUUUUGGUGAAGACAAAGAGUCCUGGUUGAAAAACAGGGGGGAAAAAAUUAGGAGUAAUAUUUGAGAAAGGUGAUCAAAAGCUUCCUCCAUGAACCAACCUGUCUACCAGGGACGAAGUGAAUAGUGGGGCCUCCAGUAACCUCAACUGCAACAACACCAGCAAGCUGACAAAACCCCAAAGGAGUCAGGAAAGCGACCACACCGGCAUCCACUUGCAAAGAUGAUGCAAACCAGAGCUUGUUUUUAUCCUUAGCUUCUCAAUGAAUUCAAAUUAAAUCACAGAACAGUUAAUUUCUGAAACAAGAGUCACCUGGUAAAGGUCAGCAUAUGUAAUGCAAGGAUGCUUCCUUUUCACCUUCUCUGACAUCAGAGCAGAACCAGAGCCCAUUAGAAGAAAAAAAUAGUAUUUCAAUUUCAAGUAGGAAAAACUGAGAGUUGUGGUGGGAUGAAGUCCCAAUCAUACUAUCUCGGCACUGAACCUCAUUAAAAGGAGUCUGAUUACAAUACAAGCAAAAAAAAAAAAAGGGGAGGGACAAAUCUUUUGCCAGUGUGCAAGGGCAAAAGGGAAAAUGAAUCUCACCGCAAAGAUCAACUGCCGUUUCCAAACCCCUAUUUGCAGAAUGAUUAAGCUCUUGUGGGUUUCUGAUGGAGCCAUUUGGGCCCCCUGUCUUUGUGAGAGCAUCAUAAGUGCCUGCAUCAUGAAACCUGCAAACAAAAUGCUAUUUAGCUUCCGAUCAUUAAACCCUCAUGCAUUAAAGCUAAAUUACUUUAAAAUCCAAUAGAGCCAGAAUGCAAAAAAUCAGCUCACGAUCCUCCCCCCCAUACAUGCCAAAUACUAAGUCUCCGUUAAUUUGAACCUUGCAAAAAACACACACACAUGUAUGAAUCGUUUUGUUCAUGGCCUGUUCAUGGCCGUAUUUCUGACACGCCAUAAGUCAUAACACCUAGAAAAGCCUUUUUCUUUUUUUUCCUAAUUUUUCUGAAAUUUUCAUCUUAUCUUCCCCGUCUAUUGAAAUGCAACCACUUAUGUUUUCUCCCCUCCCUUCGAAAUGUCAGUUCUAACAUUUACUAAAUGAAAUGAAAUGCAGGGAAAAUGAAAAAGAAGCAUAAAUUAAACUUAAGGGACACUACGCUAGACGGAGCAUCAUGGGUGCACAGUUUUUGCUGGAAAUGAGAGCACGGAGGUAUCUACGAGCCCUUUCGAUUUCUUUGUAGUAUUCUGCAUUUACAACUAGUGGUGCUGGAGUUGGUGCUGGUGCAGAGGCUGAGGUUGAGGCUUGGACUUCCAUGGGAGCUCACCCACCCUGCAAAGAAUUGAAGAGGAAAAAAAGAAGGAAUGAUGAUAGUGGAGGGAGGACCCUUGAUUAGUUUGUCUUUAUAGAGAGGGAAUCACAACGAAAGAGAUGGGUGGAAGAAAAGGGGUGGGGGAGAGAGGAAGCAAAGGAUUGAUUUUGCAUGGAAAGGGAUACGAUUCCAAUUAUAAACAUGCAAGGGACUACAACUGCUGAUUGCCUUCUUCUUCUUCGUCUUCUUCUUCUUCAAAAUCUUCUUAUCUCUUGAGGUAUGAAGAUUAAAAAACCUAAAUAGAUAAUAACUUUCAUGUAUAUAGUUUAAAAUAAUUUUUUUAUUUAAAAGAAAAACACAUUAUUUAAAAUUAUUAUUUUUAAAUUUUUAAAAAUAUCUUUGAGAGGCUUUUUUUUUUUUGCUAAAUAAUAAAAACUUGACCCUGUGAUUUAAAAACACUUCUAAAAACCGAAAAAUGUUUUUGAAAAAUUAUAACAUUGUUUGGUUGUUGUUUUCUUAAAAAAAAAAAUUAAAAACAAAAUAAAAUUAAAAAUCAUUUUUAAAGAAUAAAUAAAAAUUAUUUUCACUUAUUUUAAAUACAAAAGGAAAAUGUAAAUAAAUAAGAAAAAAUUAAAAUAAAAAACCAUAUAAACAGAUGAAUGUAUGUAUGAAAUAAAAAAAUCAUUCAUUUAUAUUUUUAAAAAUUAAAUUUUAUUUAUUUUUAAAUUUAUUCAAAAUAAAAUAGUAUUAACAGUUAUUAAUUUUAAAUUGUUGUUACUAUUAUUAUUAUUAUUUAUUUCCAACAAAAUAAAUCAAUGAUGCUUUUAUGAAAAUGUUAAUAUUCAUUAUUUAUAAUAUUUAUAAAAAAAAUAUGAUUGUAUUAUAAUAUUACUAUUCAUAUUUUAUUAAAUAUAUUUAUUUUUUAUUUUUUGUAAUUACAAAAUUGUUUUUAUUUUUAAUAAGACUUGAAUUAAAAUUAGUUUACAUGAUAUAAAUUGAAUUUAUAGUUUUUUUUUACAAAAUUAAAAAAAAAUUAAAACAACUUAUUUAAAUAAGAUUUUUGUUUUUGUUUAAAAAAAACUUUUUUUAAAACAACUUGAAUCUAACGAACCAAAACACUUCAUUCUCUUAAAGUUAAAUUAAAUUCUAUUUAUAGGUAAAGUUUUAUUUUUAUUGAAAUAAUUUUCUUUUUUACAUUCUCCAAAAAAAAUAAAAUAUUUAUUCUCACUCCUCAUUCCUAUAUAAAAAAAAUGGAUUUAACGUCAAAUUUUAGAAGAAAGCUUGAAAGCCAUAAAAUUGAGGGGCUUUUUGACUGGUUAUAUAAGGAAAAGCUUUAAGUAUGUCAUCCUCCAUGGCGUCUUCUUCAACCAAAAGACUCAUGAGUCAUGACUCCUUCCAAAACACGAUUGAAGGUAUCCAAGGAAAUGUUUGAAAGAGUCCUACGAAAAAGUCAUUAAUAAGUACUUUUGCAAAGCCCUUUCAACCAUGAUACAAAAUUUUUCAAGUCUCUAAUAUUUUAAAUUAAAAAUUUUCUUCAUAUAUUAACAACUAUUGACUCAAAAUAACAAUAAUUCUUUUCUCCUAUUGUAAAAGUUGUAUUACUGCUAUUGAAUCAUAGCUUAUAUUUUAUCCUAAAUUUCAAAAUGUCACUAUUAAAUCAUAGUGUAUCCUUUAUCAUAAACUAUUGAAUUUCCUAAUACAUCUUGUUUUUUUUAAAAAAAAAUAAAUUUUGAUAAUUAAAAAAAAGGAAUUCACAAAUUAAAUCCCCUACCAAAACAAUUCAUAAACUUAUGCUUCUCAUCCAUGUAGAUAUCAUGACUAUGAUUUUAAAUUUUUUUUAGAUGAUUAAAAUUAUAAUUAGUAACUACGAUAACUUUAUCGUAACUAGCCAUGAUGAUAACUUUAUGUAGCUAGCCACUGUGAUAACCUUAUCGUAGUCACAAACCACUGUUUUAUGUUUAUAAAAAAAAAACUCUUAGGUCUUUAUACAUACUUGAAAUGCACUAAUUCAAAAAAUAAUUUUGUUGAAAAAUUAAGGUUCAUUUGGUUAUGUUUUCUAAAACUUGUUUUUAAAAAUUACUUUUUAUUCUUUAACUUUAUAGUUUUUAAAAACAAGUUUCAUAAAACAUAACCAAAUGGACCCAUGUUUUCAUUUUGUUUUUAAAAAUUGAUGAAAACAACUUCUAUUUGUUCUCUAAAAAUUGUUCUCUAUUUCACUUUAUUUUCAAAAAUUAUUUUCAAAAACCAACAACAAAACAGUAUUAAAAAAUUUUAAAAAUAGUUUUAUAUCUUUAAAACAAAAAAAUUGUUUUUAAAUCAUAUAAUCAAACAGACUUUUAACUUCAUAAAUUUUGUUUUUCAAAUGAAUUAUUUUUGCUCAAAACUCAUUUUCUCAAAUUUGAAAAAAAAAUAAAAUUAUAUGAAGGAUAUUAAAAUUCUCAAGUCAUAUGUACUACUUUAGGGUGAUUUUACACAUAGAAUAUAAGUUUAGUUUGUGAACAAAAUGAAAACCCAUUUAAUAUUUCUUUUUCAUGGCAUGCACAUGUUGAAUGUGGAAUCACAAGCCUGUAAAUUUUUUAACUUUACCUAAAAAUCCAAUGGUGUGUGAUGAAUAUUUUAGUAAUAAGGUAUGAUGCGGACCAUGUGGUAAUGGUGGCCCCUUGCUCAAUUGUUUUAGAUUUUGUUAGCUAAGUUCCAAGUUACCAUUGUGGAACAUAUUUGGAACUACCACAUGGUGCCCCCAUUGAUUUCACCUUCAAAAGGCUGCAACUUUUGAUUUUCUUAUUGUUGCUUUAGCUUAAUGCUUUAUAAUCAAUUACGAGAUUAUAUAUCAUCUAUUAUUAGAUUACUUCAAUUUAAGUUAAUCUAUCAAAAUCCGAUACCUUAUGUCGGAUUAGGAAAAAAAACUUAUAACACAUAACUUUUUUUAACAUUUUAGAUGUCUAUGUGACUCAAAAUAGACGAUAUCUAUUAUCAAAAUAUAAUAUUUUUUUAGUACAUAAUAUACUAGCACGAAUAAUUAAAUUUAAACUAUUAAAUACAAAGAGAAAUCACAAUUUAAAUACGAAACGACACCAAAAUAUAAAAAUUAAAAAAUUAAAACCCGAGUAAAAUAAAAUGAGAUCAAGACUAAAAAACCAAUCUUUUAUCUUCUUUUGUCAAAUACAGAUACAUACUAAAAAUGUAACAUAAAAAUUUAACAAAUUUAGGUAUCAUAAUAGCACCCAUGUGGACCUGAGAAUUUUAAGAUUCUCUAUAAAUUAAGAAAAGAAGAAGAACAAAUUGUUACCUUUUGGGAUAUUUUUAGGUGGGAAGUUGUAAAUUGCAAAGUUUGAGAAGGGUAUAGUUGUCCAAAAGGGAGGAUAUUUUUGGCAGUUUCCCCUGGAAUGCUCUUCUCUGACAGAUUGAUUCCAGUGCCACAGUUCCCUGAAAAAAGCAAGCAAAUUUAUUAAUAUCCCAAAACACCCCAAAUUUCAAUUGGCAGAUUAAAAUUGUAGACAAUGAAACGGUGUCGUUUCAGCGGGGUCCAUGCAAAACGCUUUUACAAAAAAUCCUUGUCUGCGUAAAAUCUGGUUUUUUGAUACAACACAUUUAUAUCUUCCAUUUUUGAAAUAUUACCUUCCUAAGGCUGUAUUGGCCGUUGAAAUGCAUAGUUACCUAAACACCCCUCCCUUCCUUCCUUAUUAGUUCCCCUGUUCUCCGCACGUCCCAAGGGCAUGCCGUGAAUAAAGGCACAUUCUAGGGGCAUUUUGGUCAUAAUACUUUAUUUGAUAAAAUUACUCCACUGGGCACCCUGCCCAACGUUCAUUUGUCUGCUUACAUCUCAAAACUGCCGCUCCGUUGCUUUCCUCCUCACAACCACAGAGUGGGGGGAGAGAAGAGAGGAGAUGAAACGGUGUCGUUUGUUUGGGAGGAAGCGAGGUUAAAGAUUCUGAGACCCAAAAGAAGUGAAGGAGAAAAACGGUGGCUUUUUGAGACCCGCCAUCGAUGAAAGCUUCAGAAGCUUUACCAAAGUGAGAGAACGCAGAAAACGUUUUGGUUGUUGUUUUGUUUUUUGAAAAUCAGAAAUGGGUUGUUGUUACUCGAGAAUAGAGAGAGAAGAGAUGGUUUCAAGGUGUAAGGCGAGGAAGAGAUACAUGAAGCAGUUUGUGAAGGCGAGGCAAGCCCUGUCUGCAGCCCACAGUAUGUAUAUCAGAUCCCUGCGUGGCACUGGCUCUGCUCUCCUUCAGUUUGCCACCGCCGAGACCAAUCUCCACUACCACCACCACCACCACCACCACCAUCUCACACCGAUUCCACCCUCUCCGCCGCCACAGCAGCCCUCUCCUCCGCCUCCACCGCCGCCCAUGAGUCCCAGCUCCGAUACGUGGACAUCCAUCACAGCCUCGCCCUCUCAUCUACCGC
This 9575-nucleotide long non-coding RNA is filed under the name Vitis vinifera (wine grape). Its description in RNAcentral is "long non-coding RNA (VVIN_LNC001200)". Lineage: Eukaryota; Viridiplantae; Streptophyta; Magnoliopsida; Vitales; Vitaceae. The record is from RNAcentral.